UUGGGCGUAAGCGCGCGCAGGCGGUUUCUUAAGUCUGAUGUGAAAGCCCCCGGCUCAACCGGGGAGGGUCAUUGGAAACUGGGGAACUUGAGUGCAGAAGAGGAGAGUGGAAUUCCACGUGUAGCGGUGAAAUGCGUAGAGAUGUGGAGGAACACCAGUGGCGAAGGCGACUCUCUGGUCUGUAACUGACGCUGAGGCGCGAAAGCGUGGGGAGCGAACAGGAUUAGAUACCCUGGUAGUCCACGCCGUAAACGAUGAGUGCUAAGUGUUAGAGGGUUUCCGCCCUUUAGUGCUGCAGCAAACGCAUUAAGCACUCCGCCUGGGGAGUACGGUCGCAAGACUGAAACUCAAAGGAAUUGACGGGGGCCCGCACAAGCGGUGGAGCAUGUGGUUUAAUUCGAAGCAACGCGAAGAACCUUACCAGGUCUUGACAUCCCAAUGGCCGCUUUAGAGAUAGAGCCUUCCCUUCGGGGACAUUGGUGACAGGUGGUGCAUGGUUGUCGUCAGCUCGUGUCGUGAGAUGUUGGGUUAAGUCCCGCAACGAGCGCAACCCUUGAUCUUAGUUGCCAGCAUUGAGUUGGGCACUCUAAGGUGACUGCCGGUGACAAACCGGAGGAAGGUGGGGAUGACGUCAAAUCAUCAUGCCCCUUAUGACCUGCGCUAC
Molecule: ribosomal RNA, 664 nt
Filed under: uncultured bacterium
Lineage: Bacteria
Description: bacterial SSU rRNA
Rfam family: Bacterial small subunit ribosomal RNA
Source: RNAcentral